ACUAACAAGGAUUGCCUCAGUAACGGCGAGUGAAGCGGCAAAAGCUCAAAUUUGAAAUCUGGCUCCUUUGGGGUCCGAGUUGUAAUUUGCAGAGGGUGCUUUGGUGUUGGUGGGAGCAUAAGUUCCUUGGAACAGGGCGUCACAGAGGGUGAGAAUCCCGUAUGUGGUUCCUAUCCUUCACCGUGUAAAGCCCCUUCGACGAGUCGAGUUGUUUGGGAAUGCAGCUCUAAAUGGGAGGUAAAUUUCUUCUAAAGCUAAAUAUUGGCCAGAGACCGAUAGCGCACAAGUAGAGUGAUCGAAAGAUGAAAAGUACUUUGGAAAGAGAGUCAAAUAGCACGUGAAAUUGUUGAAAGGGAAGCGCUUGCCGCCAGACGUGGCUGUAGUUGCUCAGCUGGGCUUUUGCCCGGUGCACUCUUCUAUAGUCAGGCCAGCAUCAGUUUGGGCGGCUGGAUAAAGACCUCUGUCAUGUACCUCCUUUCGGGGAGGCCUUAUAGGGGAGGUGAAAUACAGCCAGCCUGGACUGAGGUUCCGCGCAUUUGCUAGGAUGCGGGCGUAAUGGCGGUAAGCGGCCCGUCUUGAAACACGGACCAAGGAGUCUAACAUCUAUGCGAGUGUUUGGGUGUUAAGCCCGAGCGCGUAAUGAAAGUAAACGGAGGUGGGAACCCUUAAGGGUGCACCAUCGACCGAUCCUGAUGUCUUCGGAUGGAUUUGAGUAAGAGCAUAGCUGUUGGGACCCGAAAGAUGGUGAACUAUGCUUGAAUAGGGUGAAGCCAGAGGAAACUCUGGUGGAGGCUCGCAGCGGUUCUGACGUGCAAAUCGAUCGUCAAAUUUGGGCAUAGGGCGAAAGACUAA
RNAcentral lists this ribosomal RNA (852 nucleotides) under Halojulella avicenniae. Its description in RNAcentral is "partial large subunit ribosomal RNA". It matches the Rfam family "Eukaryotic large subunit ribosomal RNA", at positions 64 to 934 of the family's 3401-position model. The record is from RNAcentral. Lineage: Eukaryota; Fungi; Ascomycota; Dothideomycetes; Halojulellaceae.